GCAACUCGCCUACAUGAAGUCGGAAUUGCUAGUAAUCGCGGAUCAGCAUGCCGCGGUGAAUACGUUCCCGGGCCUUGUACACACCGCCCGUCACACCAUGAGAGUUGGGGAUACCCGAAGCCUGUGAGCUAACAUUAUGAGGCAGCAGUCGAAGGUAGAAUCAAUGAUUGGGUGAAGUCGUAACAAGGUAGC
RNAcentral lists this ribosomal RNA (192 nucleotides) under uncultured bacterium. Its description in RNAcentral is "partial 16S ribosomal RNA". It matches the Rfam family "Bacterial small subunit ribosomal RNA", at positions 1307 to 1500 of the family's 1533-position model. The record is from RNAcentral.